CUUUACUAUAGCUUGGAAUUGUGUUCGGGCUUCGAGUGCGCAGGAUAGGUGGGAGGCAUUGAAGUAUCCCUUGUGGGGGAUAUGGAGCCAACGGUGAGAUACCACUCUCUCGAAGCUAGAAUUCUAACUAAAUGCCGUUAUCCGGCUUUGGAACCGUAUCAGGUGGGCAGUUUGACUGGGGCGGUCGCCUCCUAAAAGGUAACGGAGGCGCGCAAAGGUUCUCUCAGGCUGGUUGGAAAUCAGCCGUAGAGUGUAAAGGCAGAAGGUAGCUUGACUGUGAGACGAACAGGUCAAACAGGGUGGAAACACGGUCUUAGUGAUCCGACGGUGCUGUGUGGAAGGGCCGUCGCUCAACGGAUAAAAGUUA
RNAcentral lists this ribosomal RNA (367 nucleotides) under uncultured organism. RNAcentral describes it as "bacterial LSU rRNA". It matches the Rfam family "Bacterial large subunit ribosomal RNA", at positions 2099 to 2465 of the family's 2925-position model. The record is from RNAcentral.